This is a non-coding RNA of Lingula anatina, 69 nucleotides long. Lineage: Eukaryota; Metazoa; Brachiopoda; Lingulata; Lingulida; Lingulidae. The record is from Rfam.
UCUGUGUGAAAGACAUGGGUAGUGAGAUGCUGUACUUGUGUACCUCACUACCGUGUCUUUUGCAUGGAG